UACGGAGGGUGCGAGCGUUGUCCGGAAUCACUGGGCGUAAAGGGCGCGUAGGCGGCCUGGUAAGUAGGGGGUGAAAUCCUGCGGCUUAACCGCAGGGCUGCCUUCUAAACUGUCAGGCUCGAGCACGGUAGAGGCAGAUGGAAUUCCCGGUGUAGCGGUGGAAUGCGUAGAGAUCCGAAAGAACACCGGUGGCGAAGGCGGUGGUCUGGGCCUGAACUGACGCUGAGGAGCGAAAGCCAGGGGAGCAAACGGG
Molecule: ribosomal RNA, 253 nt
Filed under: uncultured bacterium
Lineage: Bacteria
Description: partial 16S ribosomal RNA
Rfam family: Bacterial small subunit ribosomal RNA
Source: RNAcentral